GACGAACGCUGGCGGCGUGCCUAAUACAUGCAAGUCGAGCGGACGAUUCGAAAGCUUUCUCUUGAGUCGUUAGCGGCGGACGGGUGAGUAACACGUGGGCAACCUGCCCUGUAGACGGGGAUAACACCGAGAAAUCGUUGCUAAUACCGGAUAACACGAAAUGUCGCAUGACGCUUCGUUGAAAGUCGGCGCAAGCUGUCGCUACAGGAUGGCCCCGCGGCGCAUCAGCUAGGUGGUGAGGUAACGGCACACCACGGCGACGAUGCGAAGCCGGCCUGAGGGGGAGGUCGGCCACACGGGGAGUGAGACACGGCCGAGACACCGACGGGAGGAAGCGGUAGGGAAUCUUCCGCGAUGGAGGAAAGGCUAACGGAGCAACGCCGCGUGAGGGAAGAAGGCCUAAGGGUCGUAAAGCUAUGUUGUUAGGGAAGAACAAGUAACGCAGUAACUGGCGUUAUAGUGACGGUACCGAGCGAGAAAGCCACGGCUAACUACGUG
Molecule: ribosomal RNA, 498 nt
Filed under: uncultured bacterium
Lineage: Bacteria
Description: partial 16S ribosomal RNA
Rfam family: Bacterial small subunit ribosomal RNA
Source: RNAcentral